AGCGAACGCUGGCGGUAUGCUUAACACAUGCAAGUCGAGCGCGAAAGUGACUUCGGUCAUAAGUAGAGCGGCGGACGGGUGAGUAACACGUGGAUAAUCUGCCUUUAGGACUGGGAUAACCCUGGGAAACUAGGGCUAAUACCGGAUAAGACCACAGGUUCCAUGGAACCAGGGGUAAAAGGCGGCCUUCGGGCUGUCGCCGAAAGAUGAGUCCGCGUCCCAUCAGGUAGUUGGUGAGGUAACGGCUCACCAAGCCGAAGACGGGUAGCCGACCUUAGCGGGUGAUCGGCCACACGGGGACUGAGACACGGCCCCGACUCCUACGGGAGGGCAGCAGUGGGGAAUCUUGGGCAAUGGGCGCAAGCCUGACCCAGCAAUACCGCGUGAGGGAUGAAGGCC
Molecule: ribosomal RNA, 399 nt
Filed under: uncultured bacterium
Lineage: Bacteria
Description: bacterial SSU rRNA
Rfam family: Bacterial small subunit ribosomal RNA
Source: RNAcentral